CUCAUCUACAGGCUUGAAGUUGGGAUGCAUACUGACACACUUUCUAGUUUGGAGAUGGUCGAGGACAUCUUCAGGGAUUCUACAGAGUUUUAGACGCAAAGCAGUGCAGAAAAUGAGGGAAACAAGAUGAAGUGCAUGGCAAUGGUUUCCCUUUGAAACACCAAUCAUGUGGAGAUUCUGGCGGUGCCCCAUGACUGAAAAAGGCUGCAUAUAAAGCUGCCAGUGCUCUGGAUGAAAGAGAUAAACAGCACAGCCACCAGCACUUCAUUUUACUGUGAUGAGCAUUUGGAGGCAAGGU
Molecule: long non-coding RNA, 298 nt
Organism: Sinocyclocheilus anshuiensis
Lineage: Eukaryota; Metazoa; Chordata; Actinopteri; Cypriniformes; Cyprinidae
Exons: 3
Source: RefSeq, a predicted model, not a curated record